AACGAACGCUGGCGGCGCGCUUAACACAUGCAAGUCGAACGAGAAGGCGUAGCAAUACGCUUGUACAGUGGCGAACGGGUGAGGAAUACAUGGGUAACCUACCCUCGAGUGGGGAUAACCCGCCGAAAGGCGGGCUAAUACCGCGUACGCUUCCGAUCUUGCGGGAUUGGAAGGAAAGCUGUCCCUUGGGGAUGGCGCUCAAGGAUGGGCUCAUGUCCCUAUCAGGCUUGGGUAGGGUAACGGCCUACCAAGGCAUCGACGGGUUAGCUGGUCUGAGAGGACGAUCAGCCACACUGGCACUGCGACACGGGCCAGACUCUACGGGAGGCAGCAGUGAGGAAUAUUGCGCAAUGGGCGAAAGCCUGACGCAGCGACGCCGCGUGGGGGAUGAAGGUCUU
This 398-nucleotide ribosomal RNA is filed under the name uncultured bacterium. RNAcentral describes it as "bacterial SSU rRNA". It matches the Rfam family "Bacterial small subunit ribosomal RNA", at positions 29 to 418 of the family's 1533-position model. The record is from RNAcentral.